CCUGCCUGAGGAGGCCUCGGUUGGAUGCGAAGGAGCUGCAGCAUCCAGUUCUAGAGGCUGGGAAAUCCAGGAUCAAGUUGCCAGCAGAUCCAGUGCAUCAUGAGGACACACCUCCUGGUUUGCAGAUGGUCGUCUUGCUGUGUCCUCACAUGGCAGAAAGAGGAAGCAAGCUCUCCUUGUUUGUUUUAUAAGGGCACUAAUCCCAUCACGAGAGGUCCAUCCUCAGAACCUAAUGACCCCCUAAAGAGCCCACCUAAUGCUGUCCCACUGGGGGUUAGGGUUUUGACAUUGGAAUUUUGAGGAGGACACAAACAUGCAGUCCAUAACACAUUCCCUCUCAUGAUAUGCAAGACCUCUUUUUUUUUUUUUUUGAGGUAGGGUCUCCUCUCCGUUGCCCAGGCGGGAGGGCAGUGGCAUGAUCAUAGCUCACUGCAGCCUCAACCUCCUGGGCUCAAGUGAUCCUGCCG
Molecule: long non-coding RNA, 467 nt
Filed under: Homo sapiens (human)
Lineage: Eukaryota; Metazoa; Chordata; Mammalia; Primates; Hominidae
Description: novel transcript, antisense to CERS5
Source: RNAcentral